Molecule: ribosomal RNA, 493 nt
Filed under: uncultured bacterium
Lineage: Bacteria
Description: partial 16S ribosomal RNA
Rfam family: Bacterial small subunit ribosomal RNA
Source: RNAcentral
GACGAACGCUGGCGGCGUGCUUAACACAUGCAAGUCGAACGGUGAAGGGACCGGUUUUUGCUGGUUCUGGAUGAGUGGCGAACGGGUGAGUAACACGUGAGUAACCUGCCCCCUUCUUCUGGAUAACCGCAUGAAAGUGUGGCUAAUACGGGAUAUUCUGCGCCUGCUGCAUGGUGGGUGUGGGAUAGAUAUUGUUUCGGUGGGGGAUGGGCUCGCGGCCUAUCAGCUUGUUGGUGGGGUGAUGGCCUACCAAGGCGGUGACGGGUAGCCGGCCUGAGAGGGUGGACGGUCACACUGGGACUGAGACACGGCCCAGACUCCUACGGGAGGCAGCAGUGGGGAAUAUUGCACAAUGGGCGCAAGCCUGAUGCAGCGACGCCGCGUGAGGGAUGGAGGCCUUCGGGUUGUAAACCUCUUUCGCCAGUGAAGCAGGCCUGUCCCUUUUGUGGGUGGGUUGACGGUAGCUGGAUAAGAAGCGCCGGCUAACUACGUG